Molecule: microRNA precursor, 57 nt
Filed under: Saccoglossus kowalevskii
Lineage: Eukaryota; Metazoa; Hemichordata; Enteropneusta; Harrimaniidae
Description: Sko-Mir-2006_pre stem-loop
Source: RNAcentral
CAUCGCUAUCGUGUGUUCUUGUGUGUCUGUACAACAAGCACACUACAUAGCGGUGCU